Molecule: long non-coding RNA, 1246 nt
Organism: Arachis ipaensis
Lineage: Eukaryota; Viridiplantae; Streptophyta; Magnoliopsida; Fabales; Fabaceae
Source: RefSeq, a predicted model, not a curated record
CGCAACCUUCAUCUAUAAUUGUUCAUACAAAAAAGUCAUCUGAAAAACUGAGAAAAAAAAUAAAAGAACAGAGCUUCGUGUCUUCAUCUUCUCGGUUUCUCACCAGCACACUCUCAACGAACGUCUCUCUCAUUCCCAAUUCUGAGACUCAAACUGUCUCUUCUCUCUCACUGCCACUAGAGUCUCUCUCGAUCUCACUAGAUUCUCUACUCGUUCACACUCACCAGCGUCUCGUUGCUGCUCUCGUCUCGUCGCCGGCAUUUCAACGUCUCACGGCCUUCCCUGGGCUCCUCCUCGCCGGCGACAGAAGCACUCAUCAGAUCGUCGUCGCUCAUCGUCUUCUGGUUUCAAGUACUCGCUGUCGCGAGUCGCCGUGGAUCGUGGACCGUCAUAGGGUCGUCAAUUGCUUCGUCGCUCGUCCUCUUUUGGGGUCGGGUCCUCUUCGUCACCCAGUCGCCGUUGGAUUGUCACAAUACACAUAUUUCAUAACAAUUUGAUCACCGGUGAAAACUCAUACAGCAAACUCUCUUGUUGAUUUGAGGAGCUGUUUAAUUUAGCCAACUCAGAUUUAAGUGCCACUUCUCAGUACCAAUUUAGCAUUACCGGUUUUGAGCUCUAUAAUGAAUAGGUCCUGUUCUCUUUUACUUACUGUAUACAACUUUUCUGGUAUCCACUGUUUGCUUCCUGGUUUUGGUUGGCAAUUUUCUUGUAUACAACUCUUAAAGUUGUUUAUUUAAAAAAAGCCAAGUUCCUAGUUGUUUAUAAGUUAUCUUGGAAGUGAUUAUACUCCCUGUACAGAUUGCACAAAAUAUAAGAACUCAAGUAAGACUUUAUGUCACUAUCUAGCUAUUCUUUGUAAAAUGAGUGGAGAAACUUUAAUUUUCAGGAGGGGGAGACUCACAUAAAAAUGGCAAAAACAAUUUUUUUUUGUAGUUGCUGACGUGUUACUCUGUAAUUGGUUAUUUAUGUUACAUUUUGUAACUUCUCUUUGUAACAAAAAUUACAACCAAAAUAUAUAUUAUUAGAGAUGUCAACCAACUAUUUUAAUGGUGUAUGCAUGGAAAUGUGGAACUGUAUUAUGUAAGAUUAUUAUAUAUCUAGAUCGCAUGCAUGGACUUCUUCAAUCAAAAGGAGGGAAGACAUGGUAAAGGAUGAUGACACUAAGAGGCUCUACCAUUUCUACUUUAGCAAUAAUUUUGUAUAUUAUUAUUACUAUUAUGCAUAACAAGUUUGAACUCUUAAGUUA